Molecule: non-coding RNA, 149 nt
Organism: Xenorhabdus beddingii
Lineage: Bacteria; Pseudomonadati; Pseudomonadota; Gammaproteobacteria; Enterobacterales; Morganellaceae
Source: Rfam
CCUGUUAUGCAACUAACAGUAGCCUAGGGACAGUGCGUCAUCAGUAAUGGUGGGGUGCCAAGCGUCCUGACAAUGUACUCCCUGAAUUUCAGGUAUCGUCUCUCCGUGAGGUGGGCAAUAGAUUUCACUAGUAGCAGGUGGAUGAGAGG